RNAcentral lists this ribosomal RNA (252 nucleotides) under uncultured bacterium. RNAcentral's name for it is "partial 16S ribosomal RNA". It matches the Rfam family "Bacterial small subunit ribosomal RNA", at positions 524 to 776 of the family's 1533-position model. The record is from RNAcentral.
UACAGAGGUCCCGAGCGUUGUUCGGAUUCACUGGGCGUAAAGGGUGCGUAGGUGGUUGGGUAAGUUUGAUGUGAAAGCUCAGGGCUUAACCCUGAAAUGGCAUUGAAUACUACUUAACUGGAGGUUUGGAGGGGGACUGGAAUUCUUGGUGUAGCAGUGAAAUGCGUAGAUAUCAAGAGGAACACCAGUGGCGAAGGCGAGUCCCUGGACAACACCUGACACUGAGGCACGAAAGCUAGGGGAGCAAACAGG